GUGCCAGCCGCCGCGGUAAUACAGAGGUCCCAAGCGUUGUUCGGAUUCACUGGGCGUAAAGGGUGCGUAGGCGGUCGGGUAAGUCUGACGUGAAAUCUUCGAGCCUAACUCGGAAACUGCGUCGGAUACUAUUCGGCUAGAGGAAUGGAGGGGAGACUGGAAUACUUGGUGUAGCAGUGAAAUGCGUAGAUAUCAAGUGGAACACCAGUGGCGAAGGCGAGUCUCUGGACAUUUCCUGACGCUGAGGCACGAAAGCCAGGGGAGCAAACGGGAUUAGAUACCCUAGUAGUCC
RNAcentral lists this ribosomal RNA (292 nucleotides) under uncultured bacterium. RNAcentral's name for it is "partial 16S ribosomal RNA". It matches the Rfam family "Bacterial small subunit ribosomal RNA", at positions 505 to 796 of the family's 1533-position model. The record is from RNAcentral.